RNAcentral lists this ribosomal RNA (497 nucleotides) under uncultured bacterium. Its description in RNAcentral is "partial 16S ribosomal RNA". It matches the Rfam family "Bacterial small subunit ribosomal RNA", at positions 28 to 507 of the family's 1533-position model. The record is from RNAcentral.
GAUGAACGCUGGCGGCGUGCCUAAUACAUGCAAGUCGAGCGAACAGACGAGGAGCUUGCUCCUCUGACGUUAGCGGCGGACGGGUGAGUAACACGUGGAUAACCUACCUAUAAGACUGGGAUAACUUCGGGAAACCGGAUCUAAUACCGCAUAAUAUAUUGAACCGCAUGGUUCAAUAGUGAAAGACGGUUUUGCUGUCACUUCUCGAUGGAUCCGCGCCGCAUUAGCUAGUUGGUAAGGUAACGGCUUACCAAGGCAACGAUGCGUAGCCGACCUGAGAGGGUGAUCGGCCACACUGGAACUGAGACACGGUCCAGACUCCUACGGGAGGCAGCAGUAGGGAAUCUUCCGCAAUGGGCGAAAGCCUGACGGAGCAACGCCGCGUGAGUGAUGAAGGUCUUCGGAUCGUGAAACUCUGUUAUUAGGGGAGAACAAAUGUGUAAGUAACUAUGCACGUCUUGACGGUACCUAAUCAGAAAGCCACGGCUAACUACGUG